CAUGGAUAGCUCAAGGGUAGAGCACUAGACUCAUAAUCUAGGUGUUGCGGGUUCGAUCCCCGCUCCAAA
RNAcentral lists this transfer RNA (69 nucleotides) under Parvularcula marina. Its description in RNAcentral is "Parvularcula sp. SM1705 tRNA-Met". It matches the Rfam family "tRNA". From Rfam's summary of the family: Transfer RNA (tRNA) molecules are approximately 80 nucleotides in length. Their secondary structure includes four short double-helical elements and three loops (D, anti-codon, and T loops). Lineage: Bacteria; Pseudomonadati; Pseudomonadota; Alphaproteobacteria; Parvularculales; Parvularculaceae. The record is from RNAcentral.